UACGUAGGGGGCUAGCGUUGUCCGGAAUCAUUGGGCGUAAAGCGCGCGUAGGCGGCCCGGUAAGUCCGCUGUGAAAGUCCAGGGCUCAACCCUGGAAAGCCGGUGGAUACUGCCGGGCUAGAGUCCGGAAGAGGCGAGUGGAAUUCCUGGUGUAGCGGUGGAAUGCGUAGAGAUCCGGAAGAACACCGGUGGCGAAGGCGGCCUGCUGGGCAGUUGCUGACACUGAUGCGCGACAGCGUGGGGAGCAAACAGG
Molecule: ribosomal RNA, 253 nt
Filed under: uncultured bacterium
Lineage: Bacteria
Description: partial 16S ribosomal RNA
Rfam family: Bacterial small subunit ribosomal RNA
Source: RNAcentral